RNAcentral lists this ribosomal RNA (400 nucleotides) under uncultured bacterium. RNAcentral describes it as "bacterial SSU rRNA". It matches the Rfam family "Bacterial small subunit ribosomal RNA", at positions 355 to 772 of the family's 1533-position model. The record is from RNAcentral.
UGGGGAAUAUUGGACAAUGGGGGAAACCCUGAUCCAGCCAUGCCGCGUGAGUGAUGAAGGCCUUAGGGUUGUAAAGCUCUUUUGUCAGGGAAGAUAAUGACGGUACCUGAAGAAUAAGCACCGGCUAACUUCGUGCCAGCAGCCGCGGUAAUACGAAGGGUGCUAGCGUUGUUCGGAAUUACUGGGCGUAAAGCGCGCGUAGGCUGCAUGGUAAGUCAGUGGUGAAAUCCCGGAGCUCAACUUCGGAACUGCCAUUGAAACUGCUGUGCUGGAAUCUCAGAGGGGAUAGCGGAAUUCCAAAUGUAGGGGUGAAAUCCGUAGAUAUUUGGAGGAACACCGGUGGCGAAGGCGGCUAUCUGGAUGAGUAUUGACGCUGAGGCGCGAAAGCGUGGGGAUCAAA